MicroRNA precursor from Lepisosteus oculatus (spotted gar), 68 nucleotides. It matches the Rfam family "mir-33 microRNA precursor family". Lineage: Eukaryota; Metazoa; Chordata; Actinopteri; Semionotiformes; Lepisosteidae. The record is from Rfam.
CUGUGGUGCAUUGUAGUUGCAUUGCAUGAUCCUGCAGCACAGUGCAAUGUGUCUCCAGUGCAGUACAG